GAUGAACGCUGGCGGCAUGCCUAACACAUGCGAGUCGAUCGGUAAGGCUCUUCGGAGUACACGAGAGGCGGACGGCUGAGUAACUCGUAGGCACACACCCUGCAGUGAGGGAUAAGACACCGAAAGGUGUUCUAAUACCGCAUACGGUCUUCGGAUUAAAGCAUUUAUGCGCUGAAGGAGUGGCCUGCGUCAUAUUAGAUAGUUGGUGAGGUAAUGGCUCACCAAGUCGAUGAUGUGUAGCUGGUCUGAGAGGAUGAUCAGCCAGACUGGAACUGAGACACGGUCCAGACUCCUACGGGAGGCAGCAGUGAGGAAUAUUUCACAAUGAGCGAAAGCGUGAUGGAGCAAUGCCGCGUGCAGGAUGAAGGCCCUCGGGUUGUAAACUGCUUUUAUAAGAGAAGAUUAUGACGGUAACUUAUGAAUAAGGGACGGCUAACUACGUG
RNAcentral lists this ribosomal RNA (443 nucleotides) under uncultured bacterium. RNAcentral's name for it is "partial 16S ribosomal RNA". It matches the Rfam family "Bacterial small subunit ribosomal RNA", at positions 28 to 507 of the family's 1533-position model. The record is from RNAcentral.